UGGGAGGGGGAAGCUGCGACUCUGGACCUGGAGCCGGAGCAGGAGCUCAUUUCCAAGCCAGUCCGUAUCUCGACUACGACGAGGGAACUGCUGUAGUUGUCGCUGCAGCCGCAACGCGAGCCUACGUCACUGUCUCGUCUGAUUUUCUCAAACCAGACCACACUGCAAGUUCUUCUACGAUAAAAAUAGGAAAAGGGCUGCACAUGUAGGCGGUGAGUGUUACAACAGAAAAUACGGACGAGAAGUUUCAUAUUCGCUCGUUGAGAACCUGAGGAACGGGGUGGCCGAUAACACAGUUUCUGCGACAGACAUCGCCGUGAUUGCACGGCAACUUCUCCGACACAUCUGUUAAGCGGGUCAGUAUAAGGAAUUUCUUCAGGCGUUAUCGACAUUCUCAUAUUUGAACAAAUAAGACUGUAAUACAAUUGGCAAAUAAAAUUUGUCUUAGACCCUGACUGUACAUCCGUUCUUUCGUCCGUCCGUCCUUCUGAUUUAACGUAUAUUCAGUAAAGUUAACGCUGCCUUUCCUUAAAUUUAUCGUCUAAAUUCAAUGUUAAAUGACUGGUUGAAAUUAGGACAAGCUUUCGAAAAAAUUGAACUAUAAAUGUUUCAUUAGCAAACAAUAAAAGAAGGUUCUCUUUGGGGAAAAUUGAUUCAGUAUUCGUCUAACAAACAAUUUUUGAGAGACGAAGUCGUGGAAAUCUUCGAAAUAUGAAAAACAUUUUACAACCUCCAAAGGAAAAUGUAUUAAAAUGUAGACGCAGAGAAAGAUGACAAAUUGAAAGGAAAGUUUUAUUGAUCACUGAAGCUUUAACAAACAAUACUGCAUACUCAGUGAAGUGGAAAAGAAGAAGAAGUGGAAGAAUUAUUAGGACCACAUUAAAAUUUAUCUUGGGAUUUUGCAUAAUCAGUGGCUAAAGACUAAAACGCCGAAGGCAGAAAGUCGUCUAUGGCGUUAGGAAUGUUCUUCCUGCGCACCAAUCAGACUUUCCUGUGCUACCAUUGCCUCUUGUCCACUGCUGGGGCAUAGAAAGCUGACGCGGCAUUCUAAUCAGUUACUUCAAGAUACGUAACGAAUUGAGCGGUUCCCAAGCCGCUCUCUACGUGUGGUAAAUUCUUGUUCCUUACAAGAAUAUCUUAAAACGAAUUUUGUUAUUUAUAUUUUUUCUAAAGUUCUAUUUUACAAUCAUAAAAAACACAUUAUUCCACUUCUCUUUGUAAUAAUUUAAAUUUUUAAUAUAUGGUAAUUAUUCUAACAGUUCCUUACCCUUUCAUAGACACUACAACUAUAAAGGUCCAAUAAAAAAUAAAUAUACAACUAAUAAAAUUAAAUUUAUACCUGUACUUAAUCACAGCGCCAUGAACACGUAUGGGGCGCGGAGGUUUAGCGCCAAGAAUUAUUAACGUCUGCUCAAGACAGAGGUCACUGAACAUUACCGAACUUGGGCCGCUUUACCGCCGGGGAUAAUGAAUUCGAUACCUACUGAACAAAAGACUGUGCAGGAUCCACAGUGGAGGCGAAAACAUACAUUAAUAUUUUCGCCCUGAAUCGAACACCGGUCACUCAGCCCAUUCCAGUCACUUAAUAACUGGACUAACUAGAUUAAAUCCGUAGGGUUAAAUCAUUUCUUUGUAGUAAAUAAUUUCUCUGCUCUUUUUGGAACUAAAGGGUCCAUUACCAUGAAGAUAAGAGUCCGCCUCUACACUGUGUCUUAAAUAAAGAAAUAAUUCCGAAAAAGUGCAAUGGAUGUUUUGCUUCAGCUGCAAUAUUGCUAUACAAAUAAUCACUUAUUUAUAAGGGAAUGAAUAUAAUUUACAGACCUUAAAAACUUACAUGUCGCGUUCUUCUCCGCAGACCCUGAAAGAACGAAUUCCCCGUGUCAGAUGAAGUACCACAGAAUGUACUCCAAAUUGAGUGUUAGAAGUCCCGAUUGUAGCCAUUCUGCUGCCUCGGAUGGCUUUGAUUGAAAUGUAAAUUUCGCGUCCUGGGACUUUAAUUAAAACGUGAAGCAUUUUCAUCUUCAUCCAUUCAAAUCAAACCCUCUUUCUCUUUACAACUACUAUGCCAGUUGUUUAAUUAGUUUUACAUUGUACGCCGGAUUAAUAUCCUAAUAUCUCAAGUAUUUAAAUUGAAUCCACGAACAGCAUACAUUCAGAGUUCAGAGAAAUCAUCAAGGCUACGGAUCUUGCAAGAUGUUCCCUGAUCCUUUCCUUCGCAUUCAAAGUCUCUCGAUUUAGCCUGUCAUUGUUUGUUUGUUUGUUUGCAUACACCCAGAACGUAAAUAGACUAUAGAGGACGGGCGGGCAGAGUGAAAGGCGGGCAAAUAUAUCUAGAUUUUCUUUCCAAAACUACAUUCAUAACUAAAAUUAAUAUAAUUUAAAAUAAAUAUUACUUGUAUCAUUUUAUCGACACAAUAUGUAAUUGUCAUAUUCAACUCACAAAAAUUGCUCUUUAAAAGCAGUGAAAAACACUUGAAAAUACGUUAUUUGUCGAAUUUCCAAGUUCUUACAAACAAACAGAGUGACAGUGCCUUAACAAUGACCACUGUCGCUUAUAUUCACACCCUUUUAAAUUCCUAAUAUUAUAUCAAGACGAUAAAACGUCGUUAAAUAACCUCACAAACGUACAACUUGCAGGCAGAGACUUCUAUGGAAGGCUGUUGUAUUACAGUUCGUGCAUUUACUUGAAGACCUGGGCGUUUACCAGGCAUAUUACGCGUCUAUCAAGGCUGUGGAACAGGGCUCUAAUUUGCAUAUGCUUGCACACGAUAUUGCGUCGCGCCCCACCCGACAGGUACCCAUUGUCGUUGGGUAUCAAAAGAGGACGGCGAACACCGGAUCCGAGAAUCUAAUAGACAUCCAUGACGAACUAAAUACAGAGUGAAGAUUUUUGUCUUCUGGGUUGUU
This is a long non-coding RNA of Zootermopsis nevadensis, 2907 nucleotides long. RefSeq lists it as uncharacterized. The record is from RefSeq and is a predicted model, not a curated record. NCBI's taxonomy places the organism in Eukaryota, Metazoa, Arthropoda, Insecta, Blattodea, Termopsidae.